UGAAGCCAUCAUAAACCAGGUCUGUAUCUAAAAUGACUGCAGCCAUUAUAUAUAUAUCUCACGACUGUUGACCAGAGCCCAUAGACCAGGGUUCCCCAAUAGGGCAUGACUGAGUAUACAAAACAUUAGGAACACCUGCUCUUUCCAUGACAGAGACUGACCAGGUGAAUUCAGGUGAAAGCUACGAUCCCUUAUUGAUGGCACCUGUUAAAUCCACUUCAGUCAGUGUAGAUGAAGGGGAUGAGACGCAGGUUAAAUCCACCAAUCAGUGUAGAUGAAGGGGAUGAGACGCAGGUUAAAUCCACCAAUCAGUGUAGAUGAAGGGGAUGAGACGCAGGUUAAAUCCACCAGUCAGUGUAGAUGAAGGGGAGGAGACAGGUUAAAUCCACUUCAGUCAGUGUAGAUGAAGGGGAGGAGACAUGUAGAUGAAGGGGAGGAGACAUGUAGAUGAAGGGGAGGAGACAUGUAGAUGAAGGGGAGGAGACAGGUUAAAUCCACCAAUCAGUGUAGAUGAAGGGGAAGAGACAGGUUAAAUCCACCAAUCAGUGUAGAUGAAGGGGAGGAGACAUGUAGAUGAAGGGGAGGAGACAUGUAGAUGAAGGGGAAGAGACAGGUUAAAUCCACCAAUCAGUGUAGAUGAAGGGGAAGAGACAGGUUAAAUCCACCAAUCAGUGUAGAUGAAGGGGAGGAGACAGGUUAAAUCCACCAAUCAGUGUAGAUGAAGGGGAGGAGACAGGUUAAAUCCACCAAUCAGUGUAGAUGAAGGGGAGGAGACAGGUUAAAUCCACCAAUCAGUGUAGAUGAAGGGGAAGAGACAGGUUAAAUCCACCAAUCAGUGUAGAUGAAGGGGAGGAGACAUGUAGAUGAAGGGGAGGAGACAUGUAGAUGAAGGGGAUGAGACGCAGGUUAAAUCCACCAAUCAGUGUAGAUGAAGGGGGAGGAGACGGGUUAAAUGCUUUGAGACACCUAAGACAUGGAUUGUCUAUGUGUCCCAUUCAGAGGGUGAAUGGACAAGACACAAAAGAUUUUAAGUGCCUUUGAAAAGGGUGUGGUAGUAGGUGCCAGGCGCACCAGUUUGUGUCAAGAACUGCAACGAUGCUGGGUUUUUCACGCUCAACAGUUUUCCGUGUGUUUCAAGAAUGGCCCGCCACCCAAAGGACAUCCAGCCAACUUGACAGAACUUUGAGAAGCACUGGAGUCGACAUGGACCGGCAUCCCUGUGGAACGCGUUCGACACCUUGUAGAGUCCAUGCCCUGUCGAAAUUAGGCUUUUCUGAGGGUAAAGGGGCGUGCAAUUCAAUAUUAGGAAGGUGUUCCUAAUGUUUUGUACACUCUUGUGUAUUUUCUAUUUGUAUAAUUUUCCUUCUUAGACAUAAGAAAUUAUUAUAAUUUAGUAAAUCUGUUCCCAAAUAUUCCCCCGCAUAAAUAGUCAUAUGUGAUCAUAUCCCCUCGUUAUCAAGGGUUUGAAAUUAUUCCGUUUUUCUCUAAUUCUAUAUCUGUUUGGGAUUCUUGCGGUCAGUUUGCAAAUGAUUUACAACUAUGUGUUCUGACCAUCCGCUCAAGGAAAAAAUCUGCCCACUGCUGAAUGUUAUUGGGCGACCCCUGCCUGGGUCCUGAAUGAUUUGUUGUGGCUGGCUGGCUGGCUCAGAGCCCUGGGUCUGAACCCCGCCCUGUGCAACUGGGUCCCGGUCUUCCUGACUGGCUUCCCCCUUUUUCCUCCAAACAUAACGAUGGCCAAGGUAGGCAACAGCACCUCCACUACACUGAUCCCUUAACACGGGGGUCCCACAAGGGUGUGUGCUCAGCCCCAUCCUGUACACCCAUGAUUGUGUGACCUCAAAACGCCUCCAACUCGAUCAUUAAGUUUGCAGACAACACAACAGUUGUAGGCCUGAUGACGAGACGGCCUACGGGAAGUGGGGGCCCUGGCAAAGUGGUGCCAGGAAAAUAACCUCCAACAAAAUGAUCGUGGACUUCAGGAGACGGCAGAGGGAGCGUGCCCCUAGCCACAUCGACGGGCCGCAGUGGAGAAGGUGAAAAGCUUUGAGUUCCUCAGUGUAUACAUCACCGACCAACUGAAAUGGUCAACCCACAGAGACAGUGUGGUGAAGAAGGCGCAACAGCAUGGUAUGGCAACUGGACCAACCGCAGGCCUCUCCAAAGGGUGGUGCGGUCUGCCCAAUGCAUCACCGGGGGCAAACUGCCUUCCCUCCAGGAUACCUACAGUACCCGGUGUCACAGGAAGGUCUAGAAUAUCAUUAAGGACCUCAGCCACCUGAGCCACGGCCUGUUCACCCCGCUACCAUCCAGAAUAUCAUUAAGGACCUGAGCCACCUGAGCCACGGCCUGUUCACCCCGCUACGAUCCAGAAGGCGAAGGCAGUACAGGUGAUGCAAAGCUGGGUCAGAGAGAAGCCUGUUUAUCAGUCUAUCUCAAGGUCAUCAGACUGUUAAACAUUUACCACUAGCCGGCCUCCACCCAGUUCCCUACCCUGAACUUUAGUCAUUGUUACUAGCCGCCUACCACUCGGUACUCUUUCCUGCGCCUUAGACUGCUGCCAUAUGUACAUAAACAUGGAAAACUGGUCACUUUAACAAUGUUUACAUACUGUUUUACCCUCUUCAUAUGUAUAUACUGUAUUCUAGUUCAUCCUGUAUAACUACUGCUGUCUACUUCAUAUGUAUAUACUGUAUUCUAGUUCAUCCUAUAUAACUACUGCUGUCUACUUCAUAUGUAUAUACUGUAUUCUAGUUCAUCCUAUAUAACUACUGCUGUCUACUUCAUAUGUAUAUACUGUAUUCUAGUUCAUCCUAUAUAACUACUGCUGUCCACUUCAUAUGUAUAUACUGUAUUCUAGUCAUGGUUCAUCCUAUAUAACUACUGCUGUCUACUUCAUAUGUAUAUACUGUAUUCUAGUUCAUCCUAUAUAACUACUGCUGUCCACUUCAUAUGUAUAUACUGUAUUCUAGUUCAUCCUAUAUAACUACUGCUGUCUACUACAUAUGUAUAUACUGUAUUCUAGUCAUGGUUCAUCCUAUAUAACUACUGCUGUCCACUUCAUAUGUAUAUACUGUAUUCUAGUUCAUCCUAUAUAACUACUGCUGUCUACUUCAUAUGUAUAUACUGUAUUCUAGUUCAUCCUAUAUAAAUACUGCUGUCUACUUCAUAUGUAUAUACUGUAUUCUAGUUCAUCCUAUAUAACUACUGCUGUCCACUUCAUAUGUAUAUACUGUAUUCUAGUUCAUCCUAUAUAACUACUGCUGUCUACUUCAUAUGUAUAUACUGUAUUCUAGUUCAUCCUAUAUAAAUACUGCUGUCUACUUCAUAUGUAUAUACUGUAUUCUAGUUCAUCCUAUAUAACUACUGCUGUCCUCUUCAUAUGUAUAUACUGUAUUCUAGUUCAUCCUAUAUAACUACUGUUGUCCACUUCAUAUGUAUAUACUGUAUUCUAGUUCAUCCUAUAUAACUACUGCUGUCUACUUCAUAUGUAUAUACUGUAUUCUAGUUCAUCCUAUAUAACUACUGCUGUCCACUUCAUAUGUAUAUACUGUAUUCUAGUUCAUCCUAUAUAACUACUGCUGUCUACUUCAUAUGUAUAUACUGUAUUCUAGUUCAUCCUAUAUAACUACUGCUGUCCACUUCAUAUGUAUAUACUGUAUUCUAGUCAUGGUUCAUCCUAUAUAACUACUGCUGUCUACUUCAUAUGUAUAUACUGUAUUCUAGUCAUGGUUCAUCCUAUAUAACUACUGCUGUCCACUUCAUAUGUAUAUACUGUAUUCUAGUCAUGGUUCAUCCUAUAUAACUACUGCUGUCUACUUCAUAUGUAUAUACUGUAUUCUAGUUCAUCCUAUAUAACUACUGCUGUCUACUUCAUAUGUAUAUACUGUAUUCUAGUAAUGGUUCAUCCUAUAUAACUACUGCUGUCCACUUCAUAUAUACAGUGGGGCAAAAAAGUAUUUAGUCAGCCACCAAUUGUGCAAAUUCUGACUUAAAAAGAUGAGAGGCCUGUAAUUUUAAUCAUAGGUACACUUCAACUAACUAACUAUUUUUUUAAAAAUCCAGAAAAUCACGUAGGAUUUUUUAUGAUUUUCUUUGCAAAUUAUGGUGGAAAAUAAGUAUUUGGUCAAUAACAAAAGUUUAUCUCAAUACUUUGUUAUAUACCCUUUGUUGGCAAUGACAGAGGUCAAACGUUUUCUGUAAGUCUUCACAAGGUUUUCACACACUGUUGGUGGUAUUUUGGCCCAUUCCUCCAUGCAGAUCUCCUCUAGAGCAGUGAUGUUUUUGGGUUGUUGCUGGGCAACACGGACUUUCAACUCCCUCCAAAGAUUUUCUAUGGGGUUGAGAUCUGGAGACUGGCUAGGCCACUCCAGGACCUUGAAAUGCUUCUUACGAAGCCACUCCUUCGUUGCCCGGGCGGUGUGUUUGGGAUCAUUGUCAUGCUGAAAGACCCAGCCACGUUUCAUCUUCAAUGCCCUUGCUGAUGGAAGGAGGUUUUCACUCAAAAUCUCACGAUACAUGGCCCCAUUCAUUCUUUCUUUUACACGGAUCAGUCGUCCUGGUCCCUUUGCAGAAAAACAGCCCCAAAGCAUGAUGUUUCCACCCCCAUGCUUCACAGUAGGUAUGGUGUUCUUUGGCUGCAACUCAGCAUUCUUUGUCCUCCAAACACGACGAGUUGAGUUUUUACCAAAAAGUUAUAUUUUGGUUUCAUCUGACCAUAUGACAUUCUCCCAAUCUUCUUCUGGAUCAUCCAAAUGCUCUCUAGCAAUCUUCAGACGGGCCUGGACAUGUACUGGCUUAAGCAGGGGGACACGUCUGGCACUGCAGGAUUUUGAGUCCCUGGCGGCGUAAUGUGUUACUGAUGGUAGGCUUUGUUACUUUGGUCCCAGCUCUCUGCAGGUCAUUCACUAGGUCCCCCCGUGUGGUUCUGGGAUUUUUGCUCACCGUUCUUGUGAUCAUUUUGACCCCACGGGGUGAGAUCUUGCGAGGAUCCCCAGAUCAAGGGAGAUUAUCAGUGGUCUUGUAUGUCUUCCAUUUCCUAAUAAUUGCUCCCACAGUUGAUUUCUUCAAACCAACUGCUUACCUAUUGCAGAUUCAGUCUUCCCAGGCUGGUGCAGGUCUACAAUUUUGUUUCUGGUGUCCUUUGACAGCUCUUGGGUCUUGGCCAUAGUGGAGUGUGACUGUUUGAGGUUGUGGACAGGUGUCUUUCAUACUGAUAACAAGUUCAAACAGGUGCCAUUAAUACAGGUAACGAGAGGAGGACAGAGAAGCCUCUUCAAGAAGAAGUUACAGGACUGUGAGAGCCAGAAAUCUUGCUUGUUUGUAGGUGACCAAAUACUUACUUUCCACCAUAAUUUGCAAAUAAAUUCGUUAAAAAUCCUACAAUGUGAUUUUCUGGAUUUUUUUUCUCGCAUUUUGUCUGUCAUAGUUGAAGUGUACAUAUGAUGAAAAUUGCAGGCCUCUCAUCUUUUUAAGUGGGAGAACUUGCACAAUUGGUGGCUGACUAAAUACUUUUUUGCCCCACUGUAAUUAGGGGACCCUGCAAUAAUGAAUGGUUUGUUGUGGCUGGUAAUAUAAUUAGGGGACCCUGCUAUAGGGUCCUGAAUGGUUUGUUGUGGCUGGUAAUAUAAUUAGGGGACCCUGCUAUAGGGUCCUGAAUGGUUUGUUGUGGCUGGUAAUAUAAUUAGGGGACCCUGCUAUAGGGUCCUGAAUGGUUUGUUGUGGCUGGUAAUAUAAUUAGGGGACCCUGCUAUAGGGUCCUGAAUGGUUUGUUGUCUCAUUGUGUAUUAUA
Molecule: long non-coding RNA, 5788 nt
Organism: Oncorhynchus keta (chum salmon)
Lineage: Eukaryota; Metazoa; Chordata; Actinopteri; Salmoniformes; Salmonidae
Exons: 3
Source: RefSeq, a predicted model, not a curated record